Molecule: long non-coding RNA, 729 nt
Organism: Solanum lycopersicum (tomato)
Lineage: Eukaryota; Viridiplantae; Streptophyta; Magnoliopsida; Solanales; Solanaceae
Source: RefSeq, a predicted model, not a curated record
GUCUUCAACUUUCAAUUCAGUGAUCCAUUCAUUAGCUCAAAUUUUUUCCCAAAAGCCUCGACACAGCUAACUAUUGUUCCGAAAAUCCUGCCUAUUGUCAUCUUAAAGCACCCAUGCCUUUUCCAUUCUCCUUCGUUUUCAACAGCAGACGCACAACUCCAACAAUAUUUACCCAGAAAAGAACUAACCCAAUUUCCAAAUCUUCCGCUUAAAUUUCCUCUUUUCUACCUCAAAUUCGUACAGCAAGAGCGUGCUUGGCAUGAGACCAAACACACGCGGAGCUUCCGGAGGCAACCAUGUGGCAUCCGAAUGAGUCCGAUGGACUCCCCUCUCUUGCAUUUCCCUCUUCUUCAAGUUGACCUCCAUUCGAGUCAUGAAAGGGAAGCAUUAAUUAAUGGGUCAAAACCCAAAUCAGUUGCAGCAACUAAGUGGCGCAGUAAUAAAAAUUCAAACGGCUGGAAAUUGAAUUUUGGAUUUAAGAAUCCAAUUUGAUUGUUGCAGUAGUAGCAGCAGACCCAAGGGGACUAAAAUUGAAUCUUUGGACUUAAAUAAUUACUACUUGAGUAACCAGCAGUAGCAGGAGGAACCAGAAAGGGGCCAAAAUGCCCUUUUCAUCCGGUUACUUUAUUUCAUUGUUUUUCACUCUAUUUGUGAAUAUAUCUUGGUAAUCAAUAACUUUUAAUAUUUUAUUUUUGUCAACUUAAAUGAAUCCUUGAAGAAGUUUUUCUA